GGGCCGUUGGCGUAGUUGGUAGCGCGUCUCCAUGGCAUGGAGAAGGUCACCGGUUCAAAUCCGGUACGGUCCACCA
Molecule: transfer RNA, 76 nt
Filed under: Candidatus Kuenenbacteria bacterium RIFCSPHIGHO2_02_FULL_39_13
Lineage: Bacteria; Candidatus Kueneniibacteriota
Description: tRNA-Ala
Rfam family: tRNA
About the family: Transfer RNA (tRNA) molecules are approximately 80 nucleotides in length. Their secondary structure includes four short double-helical elements and three loops (D, anti-codon, and T loops). Further hydrogen bonds mediate the characteristic L-shaped molecular structure. tRNAs have two regions of fundamental functional importance: the anti-codon, which is responsible for specific mRNA codon recognition, and the 3' end, to which the tRNAs corresponding amino acid is attached (by aminoacyl-tRNA synthetases). tRNAs cope with the degeneracy of the genetic code in two manners: having more than one tRNA (with a specific anti-codon) for a particular amino acid; and 'wobble' base-pairing, i.e. permitting non-standard base-pairing at the 3rd anti-codon position.
Source: RNAcentral